Molecule: transfer RNA, 72 nt
Filed under: Lonicera maackii (Amur honeysuckle)
Lineage: Eukaryota; Viridiplantae; Streptophyta; Magnoliopsida; Dipsacales; Caprifoliaceae
Also listed under: 87 other names
Description: tRNA-Asn
Rfam family: tRNA
About the family: Transfer RNA (tRNA) molecules are approximately 80 nucleotides in length. Their secondary structure includes four short double-helical elements and three loops (D, anti-codon, and T loops).
Source: RNAcentral
UCCCCAAUAGCUUAGUGGUAGAGCGUUCGGCUGUUAACCGACCGGUCGUAGGUUCGAAUCCUACUUGGGGAG